RNAcentral lists this transfer RNA (77 nucleotides) under Promethearchaeota archaeon. RNAcentral describes it as "Candidatus Lokiarchaeota archaeon (permafrost metagenome) tRNA-Glu". It matches the Rfam family "tRNA". Rfam says of the family: Transfer RNA (tRNA) molecules are approximately 80 nucleotides in length. Lineage: Archaea; Promethearchaeati; Promethearchaeota. The record is from RNAcentral.
GCUUCUGUAGUGUAGUUUGGUCAAAAGCAUGCGAGGUUCUCAUCCUCGUGACCCGGGUUCAAAUCCCGGCAGAAGCA